Paramuricea clavata is the source of this 419-nucleotide non-coding RNA. The record is from the annotation of a GenBank genome assembly. NCBI's taxonomy places the organism in Eukaryota, Metazoa, Cnidaria, Anthozoa, Malacalcyonacea, Plexauridae.
UUUUAAUUUCAUAAAUUCUUCUUUUUUUUGUUUUUUUAUAUAUAUUUAUGUUGAAUAUACGAUGAGAACGAUGGGCCACCAUACUAUAGGCUUUGUACUCGCAGAUCGCAAGCACAUAACAUGACAUAAUAUCAAAUGACAGUUUAGACAUAGUGACACAAAAUUUACUGUAUGAUUCCUCCGCAAAUAAUAUAGCGAGAAUGGCAAAUGCAUUUUAGAACAUAACACAACAGAAAUAUAUAAUGUAACGUCCAUUUUUGGUAACUUGGUUUUAGUUCACUAUUAGCGCAAACGGUAAGCUUGGAAAAUCAUGAUUUUCGCCAAAACAAACAGUAUCGACCCAAUGCAAAUUCCAUUGCAAUUUAAUACGAUGUUUAUUAUUGUUGCGCAAAUAGCAACCUAGCUCAUUUUAAAUAUUA